This 460-nucleotide ribosomal RNA is filed under the name uncultured bacterium. Its description in RNAcentral is "partial 16S ribosomal RNA". It matches the Rfam family "Bacterial small subunit ribosomal RNA", at positions 338 to 795 of the family's 1533-position model. The record is from RNAcentral.
CCUACGGGUGACAGCAGUGAGGAAUAUUGGUCAAUGGACGGAAGUCUGAACCAGCCAUGCCGCGUGCAGGAAGACGGCUCUAUGAGUUGUAAACUGCUUUUGUACAAGGGUAAACCUGAAUACGUGUAUUCAGCUGAAAGUACUGUACGAAUAAGGAUCGGCUAACUCCGUGCCAGCAGCCGCGGUAAUACGGAGGAUCCAAGCGUUAUCCGGAUUUAUUGGGUUUAAAGGGUGCGUAGGCGGAUUGAUAAGUUAGAGGUUAAAUGUCCGAGCUUAACUCGGGAACUGCCUCUAAUACUGUUGAUCGAGAGAGUAGAGGAGGUAGGCGGAAUGAAUGGUGUAGCGGUGAAAUGCUGAGAGAUCAUACAGAACACCGAUUGCGAAGGCAGCUUACCAGUCUAUAUCUGACGUGGAGGCACGAAAGCGUGGGGAGCAAACAGGAUUAGAUACCCGAGUAGUC